AUUAAAUAUUCAAUAGAGCAAUUCCAUUUCUGCCGCUUAUCCUCUGGAAGACCAAUGCUUCAACUUGUUCUUUACCCAGCUCCACAAUCCACGCUAAGAUCUUCUCAAUGGAAAAAUAAAUUACCCAAAUCAAGGGUGGUAGAUAGGAGGAUGGUAGAUAAAAGGAUGGCAUGAAGGGCAUAGAUUGGAGUUCUUUUGGACUGACUUUGGACAAAUAAAUUAAAUACUAGAUAGAUUUUAGAUUACUUAAACUAUUAGUUCUUUUUGGAGAUUUAUUAGUUUUCUUAAUUUAUGUUUUUAUAUUAUAAGAAUGGUUUUUGUUAUUAGAAUGAUUGUUAUGGAUAUGUUAUUUUAAUAAUAAGUAAAACUUAAUUCGAAAUAAA
Spinacia oleracea (spinach) is the source of this 383-nucleotide long non-coding RNA. RefSeq lists it as uncharacterized. Lineage: Eukaryota; Viridiplantae; Streptophyta; Magnoliopsida; Caryophyllales; Amaranthaceae. The transcript has 2 exons. The record is from RefSeq and is a predicted model, not a curated record.